AGGGAAUUUUCCACAAUGGACGAAAGCCUGAUUGAGCAACGCCGCGUGAACGAUGAAGGUCUUCGGAUUGUAAAGUUCUGUUGUUAGGGACGAAACCGUACCGUUCGAACAGGGCGGUACCUUGACGGUACCUAAUUAGAAAGCCACGGCUAACUACGUGCCAGCAGCCGCGGUAAUACGUAGGUGGCAAGCGUUGUCCGGAAUUAUUGGGCGUAAAGCGCGCGCAGGCGGCUAUGUAAGUCUGAUGUUAAAGCCCGGGGCUCAACCUCGGUUCGCAUUGGAAACUGUGUAGCUUGAGUGCAGAAGAGGAAAGCGGUAUUCCACGUGUAGCGGUGAAAUGCGUAGAGAUGUGGAGGAACACCAGUGGCGAAGGCGGCUUUCUGGUCUGUAACUGACGCUGAGGCGCGAAAGCGUGGGGAGCAAAC
Molecule: ribosomal RNA, 425 nt
Filed under: uncultured bacterium
Lineage: Bacteria
Description: bacterial SSU rRNA
Rfam family: Bacterial small subunit ribosomal RNA
Source: RNAcentral